CAUUUGCUCGCACCAGAAUCUAAUCAAUGCCUUGAUGUAAUAAGCAUGCUCCAAUAACAUAUUAUUCAUUGCCUCAGUACAAAAAUAAACUUCUCUAUGAUUUAAACUAAAGAUGAGGAGAUUUCAAGGCCAUGGACCCCUGCAUCUUCUCUUUUUGUUUUGUUUGGUGAAAGUGUGAGCCAUCCAUCAGAAUCCACUUUCCCACCUGCAUACGUAUAUUUGCUCCCACAAAGUGACCCUUCUUGUGGAUGUGCGCUUCCUCAAAAAUCUGUGAUUUGGAUCUCAUAGAAGAAAACAGCUGUCAUUAAGCUUUCUCAUUAAUACCCACCUUAUAUUCUGUCCUAGAAACAGAGGGGGUUUAUCUUAAACAGUGUGAACAUGUUCCAAGACUAUACUGUUAGUGUUGAAAUAGAUGUAGUUAACUUGUUAAAGCAGUCAAACUGCAAUCUUGGAUCUCCUUUUCAGCUCUAUCUAACUUAUGGUAGAUAUGGGAUUCCUUUUUCUCAGCGCAUCUCUAUCUGAACUUGUUGAUUAUGUUCAGAUGUGAUGAAAAGAACUCUCGUGCUUGCAGGUAGUCUUCAAGCGUCGCGUUACCGGUGUCCUCUUUGUCCUUGAAGAGUACAACCCAACAAAAAUGGGUCCCGUACUUUAGUUCCUGUGAAGAAACUGGACCAGGUGAUGCAGCGCUAGAAGUGUUUCACCACCUAUGGACACCCCACCACUUAACGAACUUAAAAACUUAAUUUGAUUGAAAUAGGGUCAAUGAAAGCUUCAUUUCAGAGUCUGGUGAAAGAAUUGGAUAAAAAGUGAGUCUUGCUGAGUUUGAGAAAUUGUGAUCCCAAAGCGAGCUCUAAAUUAGAGAGAGAGAGAGAAUAGGAGGGUUACAGUGAAAGUAAAAGGUGAAAACUUUUUGUUAUCAUAAUCAGAUGGGGUUUUGAACCUGAUCUUGAUGUAAUGUUAACUGUGUGAGUAUGUGAACGAGCGCUUCCCAUUCACCAGUCUCUAUUUUCAGUUUGCCAGGUGUUGGGAACAUUCCUUUAAACUCUUCUGCAUUAAAUGAUAUUGACGUGACCAUUUGGGUCUUGAGAUUGAACAGUAUGUUUUCACAAUUGAAGAAAUCAUUCGACCCGACUAGCUUCUGAUUGUUUCUUACGUGGAAUACACAGAUGGUCAUAACAGCAUCCGAGAUAAUUCCUUUCUGCAACUCCAUAGUGGAUAAAGAAAGGUUUGAAAAGAUGUUAACAGACGUUAAAGAAGCAUUAUUCUUAUUUAAAUUUAUUUUGGUAAGACCAAAAUAAAGCAUAAAUCGAGUGGCAACACUUCUGGAGAGCUGACUGCCCUAAAAUCCUGUUUUGAGUUUGAAAUUACUAAAGAGGGCAAUUAACAAAAACAGAGAAUGGAUUAUCUUGGAACAAAAAGUUUCCUCCGCAUCUUGGUAUGAGGAGUUUAUUAAAGGAAGACAUGGCAAAAGUUUUAUCAAGACCGGUUUUCAGAUCACCACCAUUUAAUGACGGGUUCUUAGCUGCAGCAUUAGCUCUCCCCAGCACUUUUGGCUCUCUCUAAGAAAAUCCUUCUGCACCAGUCUUCUGUCCUGCACCAGUGUGCAAGACUCGCCUGUUACCUUUAUUUCUUUCGCCAAGUUUUCUUUGACGCCGUGGGACCAAAUUAAGUUGUGGGUCCUAAUGCGAUACAGGCAACCACGCAGGGGAUGAAGAAUUUGAUGUAAUGCAACUUUGAAACUAGGAAGUCUAUAUACUGGAUGAGCUUUGCAGGGGAUGAAGUGUUGUAGUAUAAUGUCAAAGUCAAUUGCAGAAUUUCAACAUCAGAGUGACAUAGUUCAGGAAAGAGUACAAACAUGGUAGUGUUGUUUGGUUUCCAGAGUACUUCGACUUCGUAAUGGAGAAAUAAGUUCCUGAUGCCCUGGACGUUCAUCAUGUAUUUUCAGAAGGUGGAGGGGAUCAUUGUGAAAUAUGAAAAUUUAUGACCAACUUUUUUAGGAGCUUUCAUAUUGGCAUUGGAAGUUAGACUUGCGAAAAUUUAUGGCAUCGCUUGCGAAUGACUGCUUCUGAAGAGCUCGCUUUUCUCAUGCUCUCGCAAUUCAUUCCUUCUAUCUUUACAGUGAUCAGCUAGCUAGUUCAUCAUGUACCUCCCCAAUUGAUCUUAAGUAGCUAGCUCUCUGUAUUGUGCUUUAGAUUCAUUAAAGGAAGUACAGCAGUUUUUGCAAUCUCUUUAUUGUGUAGGUUAAGCCCCAACUGAAGUUGGCGUUGCUUGUCCUGGUUAUUAAAUGAGUUUUGUUUAGUUCA
This is a long non-coding RNA of Coffea arabica (coffee), 2303 nucleotides long. RefSeq lists it as uncharacterized. The record is from RefSeq and is a predicted model, not a curated record. NCBI's taxonomy places the organism in Eukaryota, Viridiplantae, Streptophyta, Magnoliopsida, Gentianales, Rubiaceae.